AUGGAGCAGCGCCACCGACCGGCCGCGGCCGCUGAUGACACAACUAAGAGAAGGACCACCAAAAGCAAAAGUUUCAAAGAUGUCGAGAACUAUGAAGUUCUUGUCCUUGAGAAGAACUGCGGUUGCAAGUUCAAAUCCUUGCGCUACUUGCUUAUAGCUAUUGUUUCUGCGACAUUUCUUACCCUCCUGACUCCGACGCUGUACGAGCGCCAGCUACAAUCAAGUUCUCGGUAUGUUGAUGUUGACUGGAUAUGGGACAAAACAAGUGCUGAUCCACGAUAUGUAUCAUCCGCUGAUGUUCAGUGGGCCGAUGUAUAUACAGCUAUAGAAGAUCUUAGUGCUGGUAACCAAGAGCUCAAAAUUGGACUCCUGAAUUUUAACAGCACCGAGUAUGGCUCUUGGUCGCGCAUACUCCCCGAAAGCCAUGUUUCGAUUAUAAGACUUGAGCAUGCCAAGGACAGCAUUACUUGGCCUAAACUAUAUCCUGAAUGGAUAGAUGAGGAGGAAGAAUCUGAGAUACCUUCCUGUCCAUCAUUUCCAGAGCCUAAUGUCCGAAGAGGCGCGUGGUUUGAUGUUAUUGCUGUGAAACUUCCCUGUACAAGGGUGGCUGGUUGGUCAAGAGAUGUUGCAAGGCUUCAUUUGCAGCUCUCUGCGGCAAAACUGGCCGUGACCUCUUCAAGAGGCAACCGGAAGGUCCAUGUGCUCUUUGUGACGGACUGCUUCCCCAUCCCCAACCUCUUCCCCUGCAAGAACCUUGUGAAGCAUGAAGGCAAUGCUUGGUUGUAUAGGCCUGAUUUGAAAGCAGUAAGGGAGAAGCUUAGGCUUCCUGUUGGAUCAUGCGAGCUUGCUAUUCCACUUAAAGCAAAAGCAAGACUUUUCUCGGUAGACCGAAGAAGAGAAGCAUAUGCGACUAUACUGCAUUCAGCAAGUGAAUAUGUAUGUGGUGCUAUCACAGCAGCUCAGAGCAUCCGGCAAGCAGGAUCAACUAGGGACUUGGUUAUCCUUGUUGAUAACACCAUAAGUGACCACCACCGGAGAGGCUUGGAAGCUGCAGGCUGGAAGGUCAGAAUAAUUGAAAGGAUCAGGAACCCAAAAGCCGAGCGUGAUGCCUACAAUGAAUGGAACUACAGCAAGUUCAGGUUAUGGCAGCUGACGGACUACGACAAGAUCAUAUUCAUAGAUGCUGACCUCCUCAUCCUGAGGAAUGUGGACUUCCUGUUUGCAAUGCCAGAGAUCACCGCGACCGGCAACAACGCGACCCUCUUCAACUCCGGCGUCAUGGUCAUCGAGCCCUCAAACUGCACGUUCCAGCUGCUGAUGGAGCACAUCAAUGAGAUCACGUCGUACAACGGCGGUGACCAGGGGUACCUGAAUGAGAUAUUCACAUGGUGGCACCGCAUCCCGAAGCACAUGAACUUCCUGAAGCACUUCUGGGAGGGCGACAGCGAGGAGGCCAAGGCGAAGAAGACCCAGCUGUUUGGCGCCGACCCGCCGAACCUCUACGUGCUUCACUACCUGGGCCUGAAGCCAUGGCUGUGCUUCAGGGACUACGACUGCAACUGGAACAACUUCAUGAUGCGCGAGUUCGCAAGCGACGUCGCGCACAGCCGGUGGUGGAAGACGCACGACAAGAUGCCCCGGAAGCUCCAGUCCUACUGCCUUCUGAGGACAAGGCAGAAGGCUGGGCUGGAGUGGGACCGGAGGCAGGCGGAGAAGGCGAACCUGGAGGAUGGGCAUUGGCGGCGGAACAUCACCGAUCCGAGGCUCAAGACCUGCUUCGAGAAGUUUUGCUUCUGGGAGAGCAUGCUGUGGCACUGGGGCGAGGCGAAGAACCAGACGAAGAGCAUCCCCGCGCCGGCGACGCCUGCGACGAUGAGCUUGUCAAGUUCGUGA
RNAcentral lists this ribosomal RNA (1893 nucleotides) under Triticum aestivum (bread wheat). Its description in RNAcentral is "partial small subunit ribosomal RNA". Lineage: Eukaryota; Viridiplantae; Streptophyta; Magnoliopsida; Poales; Poaceae. The record is from RNAcentral.